This 253-nucleotide ribosomal RNA is filed under the name uncultured bacterium. RNAcentral's name for it is "partial 16S ribosomal RNA". It matches the Rfam family "Bacterial small subunit ribosomal RNA", at positions 524 to 776 of the family's 1533-position model. The record is from RNAcentral.
UACAGAGGUCUCAAGCGUUGUUCGGAUUCAUUGGGCGUAAAGGGUGCGUAGGCGGCGCGGUAAGUCGGGUGUGAAAUCUUGGAGCUUAACUCCGAAACUGCAUUCGAUACUGCCGUGCUUGAGGACUGGAGAGGAGACUGGAAUUUACGGUGUAGCGGUGAAAUGCGUAGAUAUCGGGAGGAACACCUGUGGCGAAAGCGGCUCACUGGACCACAACUGACGCUGAGGCGCGAAAGCUAGGGGAGCAAACAGG